Molecule: ribosomal RNA, 492 nt
Filed under: uncultured bacterium
Lineage: Bacteria
Description: partial 16S ribosomal RNA
Rfam family: Bacterial small subunit ribosomal RNA
Source: RNAcentral
AGUGAACGCUGGCGGUAGGCCUAACACAUGCAAGUCGAACGGCAGCACAGUAAGAGCUUGCUCUUACGGGUGGCGAGUGGCGGACGGGUGAGGAAUACAUCGGAAUCUACUUUUUCGUGGGGGAUAACGUAGGGAAACUUACGCUAAUACCGCAUACGACCUACGGGUGAAAGCAGGGGAUCUUCGGACCUUGCGCGAUAGAAUGAGCCGAUGUCGGAUUGGCUAGUUGGCGGGGUAAAGGCCCACCAAGGCGACGAUCCGUAGCUGGUCUGAGAGGAUGAUCAGCCACACUGGAACUGAGACACGGUCCAGACUCCUACGGGAGGCAGCAGUGGGGAAUAUUGGACAAUGGGCGCAAGCCUGAUCCAGCCAUACCGCGUGGGUGAAGAAGGCCUUCGGGUUGUAAAGCCCUUUUGUUGGGAAAGAAAAGCAGCAGGUUAAUACCCCGCUGUUCUGACGGUACCCAAAGAAUAAGCACCGGCUAACUUCGUG